This 2326-nucleotide unclassified non-coding RNA is filed under the name Dimorphilus gyrociliatus. Its description in RNAcentral is "m-phase inducer phosphatase". Lineage: Eukaryota; Metazoa; Annelida; Polychaeta; Dinophilidae. The record is from RNAcentral.
AAUAAAGAGAGAGGGAAAGAAAAAUCAAUUUUGCUUUGUUCACCUGAAACGUCAAAGGAUUCGGCGACGAAUUGAAUAGAAUUAGUAAGGAAGCGACAAACGGGUGAUGUGCAUAACAAUUUAUAAAAAGGGUAGUUGUUGAAACCGUUAUAUAAAUAAAAAAAAGAAAGUUUAAUAGGCCUAAUAAAUUAUAUAUAAAAACUGUCAAUUUAAAUCUAAGUAUACUUUCGUCACUUUCGAAUUAGUUUUGGGUCUGGGCGGUAAAAGUCAUUCGUGAAAUAGUGUAAAGAGAGAGAAAAUUCGCUCAAGGGUAUUCAAUUCAUCGGCCAACUUGGUUCUCAUUCGUAACGGCUGCCAUCUAUCUGUCUUCCGACUUUGCAUUCCGCUUCGAGAAAAUGAACGAUGAAAAUGUCUGCGAUUUGACUUUGGAUUUAGACGAAUUGUGCCUUAAAACUCACAAAAUUGAUAGGAUAAAGAAGAGAAGAAGAAUCUCUUGCAGAACAUCAUCACCAAUAACAUUUAACCUAGAUUCACCUCAAUCAAAAAAUUCGUCAAUGGAUUCCGGAUUACCUUUAUCAGACCAAAACGACGAUUUGGACGGAUCGUUUACAGAAUUAUGUGAAAAGAGGACAACGAAGAGAAAGCGUUCAGAAGAUGAUAUACCUGUAGUUCCUGUUAUCAAUUUUGAUUCGGCAGAAGAUAGUGCCGACGAGUGUUUUCGUGUUGUAAAGAAAGGUCCCAGACCCCAAAAAUUCCAUAAGAAUUACGACGAAGAGCCGCUUAAAGCAAAAAAGAAACCUUUAGAUUGCGAAAAGAACCAUGAAGAAGACAGGCUUCAGGCAAUGACAAAUAUAAUUGACUCGUCUCACAGCGAAAAGAACCUCAUAGGUGACUUUUCGAGACCCUACUCUCUACCUGUCGUUGAAUGUUCACGAGACCUAAGAUACAUAUCAGUUAAAACUUUAAAUGAAUUAUUACACGCUCAAAAUGAUUGGCAAAUCGACUCAUACAGAAUUAUUGAUUGUCGAUAUCCAUACGAAUUUAAAGGCGGACACGUUAAGAAUGCAGAGAACUUCCCUAACCAAACAAUCUUAGCUGCAGACCUAUUCACUAAAUUACCCGAUCCAUCUAAGAAGCAUAUUUUGAUCUUUCACUGCGAAUUUUCUUCUCAGAGAGCUCCUGAAAUGGCUCGUUUUGUUAGACAAACUGAUAGAAAAAUGAAUCAAGAGAACUUUCCCCAUUUAUAUUACCCUGAGAUUUACGUUAUCGAAGGAGGCUAUAAGGCUAUCUAUGAAGCAAAGCCAGACUCAUGCUCUCCUAAAGCCUAUUUGCCAAUGUUAGCCGAAGGGUAUAGUAGAGAGCUCUUGAAAUGGAGAAAGAGCAAGAGCAUGCAAGAUCGUACCCAAACACGAAGCAGAGCUAAGGUCUUUUCCAGGUCGAAGUCAUCAACUUCUCUUGGCAAGGUCAAAGCUAAUUUGCAUUCUUUGUUUGAGUAGACAGUCUAGUUUUAAUUGAACUGUUUACUUUUCAAUUCCGUCCGCAAUUUGUUAGUCUGCUACUAGUUUUAGACACGCUUGAUUGAGAUGCCUGCAUUGUUAGUUAAAUGUCGUUUUUCGUUACUAUAUGUUUUUUUUUGGACUUUUGAUACAAUUAAAUGUAAAUUUGAAUGAAUAAAUAAAUGCAUAAUUACAAACUUGAAACCGCAUAAGUAUAGGAAGAAGUGGCGCCAUAAAAGCCGCCGGGGGCGCUGUCAUUGACAUAGAAACUGAGCGACAUCUAGAACGUUAUGAAAAGUAAAAGUGUAUAAACAACGACGUCUAAUGAAAUUUAAUACUAUUCACUCAAAAGGCAUAGUAUUCCGUAAUUGCACCGCUGAGGUUUGGGGUUAUAUAAAGUCUUUGUUUAAUUAUCCUUUUAUUGUGUAAAGAAAGGAAAAGUCAAAAAAACGGAAAACAUAACAAAAAAAAAGGAGAAGAACGCUAUAAACUGUCAAUCCCAACAGAUUAUUUCUAUAAAAUUUUACUUAAAAAUUGUUCUUUUAAAAGAAUUAGCGACCUAAAUCUGUCAGAAUUAACUGAUUGAAAUCUUGGGGUAAGGUUAAUCUCAUUAAAUAGAGAUUCGUCAAUUUAUCAUUAAUUUUAAAUUCACAUUCGUAGUUAUUAGAAAUGAAUUCAUGGGCGAAUAAUGCAAAAGUCGAACGAACACAACAUGAAUUUUUUAUUGUCCUUAGAGAUUUGUUGCAAAGUGGAAGCGUAGGUUUUUUUUAUAUGGAAAGUUGGGUCGUUAGAUUAGUUUAUAUUUAAAUACACCAAAUUCAUAGUUUAUA